Non-coding RNA from Paramuricea clavata, 217 nucleotides. The record is from the annotation of a GenBank genome assembly. NCBI's taxonomy places the organism in Eukaryota, Metazoa, Cnidaria, Anthozoa, Malacalcyonacea, Plexauridae.
AGGGAACAUACUACAUGACAAUCUCAACAAAUAGUAACUGUAACAGCAAAGUUUUCCAGCAUCUUGAAGUGUUAAGGUCCAUUUUCAGUUUUCACUCAAGAAAAUGUUCUUGACUACUUGAGUGGAAAUGAGCAUAUAUCUUGACUACUUGAGUGGAAAUGAGCAUAUAUAUAUAUAUAUAUAUAUAUAUAUAUAUAUAUAUAUAUAUAUAUAUAUA